Molecule: small nucleolar RNA, 209 nt
Organism: Oryctolagus cuniculus (rabbit)
Lineage: Eukaryota; Metazoa; Chordata; Mammalia; Lagomorpha; Leporidae
Gene: U3
Rfam family: Small nucleolar RNA U3
About the family: Small nucleolar RNAs (snoRNAs) are involved in the processing and modification of rRNA in the nucleolus. There are two main classes of snoRNAs: the box C/D class, and the box H/ACA class. U3 snoRNA is a member of the box C/D class.
Source: Ensembl
AAGACUUCUUUCAAGGACCAUGUCUGUAUUUUGUGACUAGGGAAGUUUCUUUGAGUGUGUAGAGCUGCAGAAACCAUGAGAAGGAGGGGUAGUGUUUCCUCCUGAGUGUGAAGCAGGCGCUUCUUGUUGCUCCGCUGCAACUACAUCUGCCGUAGAUGAUUUUCUCCUCCGUUAGUAGAGUAAGAGGGAGAGAACGCCGACUGAGCGCU